CCUACGGGUGGCUGCAGUAGGGAAUAUUGCUCAAUGGGGGAAACCCUGAAGCAGCUACGCCGCGUGGAGGAUGAAGGUUUUCGGAUUGUAAACUCCUUUUGUUGGAGAAGAUAAUGACGGUAUCUAACGAAUAAGCACCGGCUAACUCCGUGCCAGCAGCCGCGGUAAUACGGCGGGUGCAAGCGUUACUCGGAAUCACGGGGCGGAAAGAGCGCGUAGGAGGGAUAGCAAGUCAGAUGUGAAAUCCUCUGGCUUAACCAUAGAAAUGCAUUUGAGACUGUUAUUCUAGAGUAUGUGAGAGGUAGGUGGAAUUCUUGGUGUAGGAGUAAAAUGCGUAGAGAUCAAGAGGAAUACUCAUUGCGAAGGCGACCUGCUAGAACAUAACUGACGCUGAUGCGCGAAAGCGUGGGGAGCAAACAGGAUUAGAUACCCUAGUAGUC
This 440-nucleotide ribosomal RNA is filed under the name uncultured bacterium. RNAcentral's name for it is "partial 16S ribosomal RNA". It matches the Rfam family "Bacterial small subunit ribosomal RNA", at positions 338 to 795 of the family's 1533-position model. The record is from RNAcentral.